This is a long non-coding RNA of Perca fluviatilis (European perch), 388 nucleotides long. RefSeq lists it as uncharacterized. NCBI's taxonomy places the organism in Eukaryota, Metazoa, Chordata, Actinopteri, Perciformes, Percidae. The transcript has 3 exons. The record is from RefSeq and is a predicted model, not a curated record.
CAGGUUCCUGAGGCUGCCAUUCGGAAUCAAUUCAGCUCAAGAUGAAUUCCAAAGGCGCGGCGACGAGAUGUAUGAAGGCCUCCCAGGUGUAGCCACCAUCGUCGACGACAUCCUUGUUUUCAGCAAGACAAAGCUUGAACACGACAACAACCUCAGGGCCAUGCUCAACCUCAGGGAUCUGGAGACCUAUGUCCUCAUUCUGGGACGAAUCGCUGUGGAAAAUGUCAUCAUCAGAGCUGCUGACGUUGAUCUGAAUAUUUUCAAGAAUCGCGGCAUCCCUCCUAGCCAAAAAAAAGCACAACACGGCCAUCAAGAGAAGGAGCCAUUCUACAACCACCAGAGUGGAGGCUUGCUUUGCAGGUAAACCAACCGCCGCCAACACAAAAAG